UAUCUCUGUAGAGUCUGCAUAUCAAUAAGCGGAGGAAAAGAAACUAACUAGGAUUCCCUCAGUAACGGCGAGUGAAGCGGGAAGAGCUCAAAUUUGAAAUCUUCAAGGUUCUACCUUGACGAAUUGUAGUUUAAAGAAGUGUUUUCUGUUGGAGUUUCGGUAAAAGUUCUUUGGAAUAGGACAUCAUAGAGGGUGAGAAUCCCGUAUUUGACCGUUACUUUCCAGCUGUGUGAUACACUUUCAAAGAGUCGGAUUGUUUGGGAAUGCAGUCCAAAAUGGGUGGUAAAUUUCAUCUAAAGCUAAAUAUUGGCGAGAGACCGAUAGCGAACAAGUACCGUGAGGGAAAGAUGAAAAGAACUUUGAAAAGAGAGUUAAACAGUACGUGAAAUUGUCAAAAGGGAAGCGUUUGACACCAGUGUUGUUUUUCUCGAAAAUCAAUUAAAAAUGGCAGGUUAUUUUGAUGUAGUUAUGACUUCAUCAGCUUUCUGCACUUUCUUUAUGUACUUUUCUUAAUGCACUUUUCGUUUAACAAGUCAACAUCAAUUUCUUUUGCUUGUAAAAGAGGUCAUUGGAAGGUGGCUUUCUUUUCGGAGAAAGUGUUUAUAGCCUUUGACUUCUGCAGUCGGAGAGAUUGAGGUCUGCAGCGUAGAUCCUUCGGGGUUAGAUAGCAUUUGUGCUAAGCUAUAGCCUUUCAUAGACAACUUGUUGACUAUGAUCAGUUAUGUAGCUUACUCGCUUAUGUCUAUUUUACCUACGCUUAGGAUGUUGAGUAGCGACAUACGCAC
RNAcentral lists this ribosomal RNA (785 nucleotides) under uncultured Neocallimastigales. RNAcentral describes it as "partial large subunit ribosomal RNA". It matches the Rfam family "Eukaryotic large subunit ribosomal RNA", at positions 24 to 649 of the family's 3401-position model. The record is from RNAcentral. Lineage: Eukaryota; Fungi; Neocallimastigomycota; Neocallimastigomycetes; Neocallimastigales.